This 274-nucleotide ribosomal RNA is filed under the name uncultured bacterium. RNAcentral's name for it is "partial 16S ribosomal RNA". It matches the Rfam family "Bacterial small subunit ribosomal RNA", at positions 523 to 796 of the family's 1533-position model. The record is from RNAcentral.
AUACGGAGGGUGCAAGCGUUACUCGGAAUCACUGGGCGUAAAGGACGCGUAGGCGGGUUGUCAAGUCAGAUGUGAAAUCCUACAGCUCAACUGUAGAACUGCAUUUGAAACUGGCAACCUAGAGUAUGGGAGGGGGAGAUGGAAUUAGUGGUGUAGGGGUAAAAUCCGUAGAUAUCACUAGGAAUACCGAAAGCGAAGGCGAUCUCCUGGAACAUUCCUGACGCUGAGGCGUGAAAGCGUGGGGAGCAAACGGGAUUAGAAACCCUAGUAGUCC